Picea glauca (white spruce) is the source of this 121-nucleotide non-coding RNA. The record is from Rfam. NCBI's taxonomy places the organism in Eukaryota, Viridiplantae, Streptophyta, Pinopsida, Pinales, Pinaceae.
ACAUGCCUACAACAUAGCGUUAAUGCACCGGAUCCUAUUAGAACUCCAUAGUUAAGCGCUCUCAGGCUAGAGUAGUAUUGGGAUUGGUGACCGCCCGGGAAGUCCUAGUAUUUUACAUGCC